GGUAGCUCAAGAUCUCAAUGUGUUUAUUUCUGUUAACUUCUCUUCCAUGCUUUACAGUUCAGCAAGGAUAUUUUAUUUUGAAUUAUUUCUGCCUCUAAUCUGUGUUUGAAUCACUGUAAUGAAUUUUCACUGCUCAGUUUUUACCUCGAUUUAAGGAUGUGAAUUCUACCAACCGCAGAGCCAAGGGUUCUCCCUUUGAAGGAAUAUCUGCCACUGGUGGUGCAGUACCUGCUUUGCAUCAGCACAUCUCAAGUAUGGUUGCCCAUACCAGACAUCUAUUAUCCUUCUGUUGUGGACCAUGUGUCCUGCUAUCUGUCCUGUAUAACAGGAGCCAAGAGAGGCCUCGAGAUCUCAAAGGUAGGAAGUAUCAAUAUUUCUGUUCAGAAAUAGGCUGAAGCUGUAUUAAAGAAAGCAGUGUGAUCUCUACCUUUAUUGGACAGGAAAAAACCCACAAAAGACAGUUCCC
This 466-nucleotide long non-coding RNA is filed under the name Chrysolophus pictus (golden pheasant). RNAcentral's name for it is "lncRNA (ENSCPIG00010007823.1)". Lineage: Eukaryota; Metazoa; Chordata; Aves; Galliformes; Phasianidae. The record is from RNAcentral.